This is a long non-coding RNA of Tarenaya hassleriana, 197 nucleotides long. RefSeq lists it as uncharacterized. NCBI's taxonomy places the organism in Eukaryota, Viridiplantae, Streptophyta, Magnoliopsida, Brassicales, Cleomaceae. The transcript is spliced from 3 exons. The record is from RefSeq and is a predicted model, not a curated record.
CUCCCUCUAACUCUUGCUCCAGCAGAAGCUCACAACCAAGCACUUGAUCAGAGAACGUUAUUAUCACGAAUGGAGUCGGGUGAAGAAAGACUCAAUCAAAAAUAACCCACGACCCUCUAAGAGACAAAGGAACUCAACGGUCGUGAGCAGCAGUAGCCGAGGAGCGGACAUCGGAGACCUGGGCAAUGCACCUCUAC